ACCAUGCAAGUCGACGCGAAAGUGGAGCAUCCAUGAGUAGAGUGUCCAACGGGUGAGUAACGCGUGGGCGACCUACCUCUGAGUGGGGGAUAACCUUCCGAAAGGAGGGCUAAUACCGCAUGACAUCCCGUGUUUGGAUACACGGACAUCAAAGCCGGGGAUCGCAAGACCUGGCGCUUGGAGAGGGGCCCGCGUCCGAUUAGCUAGUUGGUGGGGUAACGGCUCACCAAGGCUCCGAUCGGUAUCCGGCCUGAGAGGGCGGACGGACACACUGGAACUGAGACACGGUCCAGACUCCUACGGGAGGCAGCAGUGGGGAAUUGUUCGCAAUGGGCGCAAGCCUGACGACGCAACGCCGCGUGGAGGAUGAAGACUUUCGGGUCGUAAACUCCUUUCGACCGAGAUGAAUUCCCUCCGGCCUAACACGCCGGAAGGGUGACAGUAUCGAGGGAAGAAGCCCCGGCUAACUCUGUGCCAGCAGCCGCGGUAAUACAGGGNGGGCGAGCGUUAUUCGGAAUUACUGGGCGUAAGGGUUUGUAGGUGGCUUGUUAGUCAGACGUGAAAUCCCUCAGCUUAACUGGGGAACUGCGUCUGAUACUGGCGAGCUUGAGUGCAGGAGAGGAACGCGGAAUUCCAGGUGUAGCGGUGAAAUGCGUAGAUAUCUGGAGGAACACCGGUGGCGAAGGCGGCGUUCUGGACUGCAGCUGACACUGAGAAACGAAAGCCAGGGGAGCAAACGGGAUUAGAUACCCCGGUAGUCCUGGCCCUAAACGAUGAAUGCUUGGUGUGGCGGGUAUCGAUCCCUGCCGUGCCGAAGUUAACGCGUUAAGCAUUCCGCCUGGGGAGUACGGUCGCAAGGCUGAAACUCAAAGGAAUUGACGGGGGCCCGCACAAGCGGUGGAGCAUGUGGUUCAAUUCGACGCAACGCGAAGAACCUUACCUGGGCUCGAAAUGCAGAUGACCAUCGGCGAAAGUCGACUUCCGCAANGACGUCUGUNUAGGUGCUGCAUGGCUGUCGUUAGCUCGUGUCGUGAGAUGUUGGGUUAAGUCCCCCAACGAGCGCAACCCUUGUUCUCUGUUGCCAUCAGGUCAAGCUGGGCACUCUGAAANACUGCCGGUGACAAACCGGAGGAAGGUGGGGAUGACGUCAAGUCA
This 1155-nucleotide ribosomal RNA is filed under the name uncultured Holophaga sp. RNAcentral describes it as "bacterial SSU rRNA". It matches the Rfam family "Bacterial small subunit ribosomal RNA", at positions 53 to 1192 of the family's 1533-position model. Lineage: Bacteria; Pseudomonadati; Acidobacteriota; Holophagae; Holophagales; Holophagaceae. The record is from RNAcentral.